Kuraishia capsulata CBS 1993 is the source of this 72-nucleotide non-coding RNA. NCBI's taxonomy places the organism in Eukaryota, Fungi, Ascomycota, Pichiomycetes, Pichiales, Pichiaceae. The record is from Rfam.
GCUCUAUUGGCCAAAUGGUAAGGCACCCGACUCCUAAUCGGGAGACUGUGGGUUCGAGUCCCAUGUAGGGCG